RNAcentral lists this ribosomal RNA (487 nucleotides) under uncultured bacterium. RNAcentral describes it as "bacterial SSU rRNA". It matches the Rfam family "Bacterial small subunit ribosomal RNA", at positions 28 to 511 of the family's 1533-position model. The record is from RNAcentral.
GAUGAACGCUAGCGGGAGGCCUAAUACAUGCAAGUCGAGCGGUAGAGUGACUUCGGUUGCUUGAGAGCGGCGAACGGGUGAGUAACGCGUACACAAUCUACCUUUAAGAGGGGAAUAGCCCUGGGAAACUGGGAUUAAUGCCCCAUGGCAUCACGAAGUGGCAUCGCUUUGUGAUUAAAGCUGAGGUGCUUAGAGAUGAGUGUGCGUCUGAUUAGCUAGUUGGUGCGGUAACGGCGCACCAAGGCGACGAUCAGUAGGGGGCGUGAGAGCGUGGACCCCCACACGGGUACUGAGACACGGACCCGACUCCUACGGGAGGCAGCAGUGGGGAAUAUUGGACAAUGGGCGAAAGCCUGAUCCAGCCAUGCCGCGUGUGUGAAGAAGGUCUUCGGAUUGUAAAGCACUUUAAGUGGGAGAAGGGCAGUAAGUUAAUACCUUGCUGCUUUGACGUUACCGACAGAAUAAGCACCGGCUAACUCUGUGCCAG